This 1498-nucleotide ribosomal RNA is filed under the name Bacillus pumilus. Its description in RNAcentral is "bacterial SSU rRNA". It matches the Rfam family "Bacterial small subunit ribosomal RNA". Lineage: Bacteria; Bacillati; Bacillota; Bacilli; Caryophanales; Bacillaceae. The record is from RNAcentral.
GAGUUUGGACCUGGCUCAGGACGAACGCUGGCGGCGUGCCUAAUACAUGCAAGUCGAGCGGACAGAAGGGAGCUUGCUCCCGGAUGUUAGCGGCGGACGGGUGAGUAACACGUGGGUAACCUGCCUGUAAGACUGGGAUAACUCCGGGAAACCGGAGCUAAUACCGGAUAGUUCCUUGAACCGCAUGGUUCAAGGAUGAAAGACGGUUUCGGCUGUCACUUACAGAUGGACCCGCGGCGCAUUAGCUAGUUGGUGGGGUAAUGGCUCACCAAGGCGACGAUGCGUAGCCGACCUGAGAGGGUGAUCGGCCACACUGGGACUGAGACACGGCCCAGACUCCUACGGGAGGCAGCAGUAGGGAAUCUUCCGCAAUGGACGAAAGUCUGACGGAGCAACGCCGCGUGAGUGAUGAAGGUUUUCGGAUCGUAAAGCUCUGUUGUUAGGGAAGAACAAGUGCGAGAGUAACUGCUCGCACCUUGACGGUACCUAACCAGAAAGCCACGGCUAACUACGUGCCAGCAGCCGCGGUAAUACGUAGGUGGCAAGCGUUGUCCGGAAUUAUUGGGCGUAAAGGGCUCGCAGGCGGUUUCUUAAGUCUGAUGUGAAAGCCCCCGGCUCAACCGGGGAGGGUCAUUGGAAACUGGGAAACUUGAGUGCAGAAGAGGAGAGUGGAAUUCCACGUGUAGCGGUGAAAUGCGUAGAGAUGUGGAGGAACACCAGUGGCGAAGGCGACUCUCUGGUCUGUAACUGACGCUGAGGAGCGAAAGCGUGGGGAGCGAACAGGAUUAGAUACCCUGGUAGUCCACGCCGUAAACGAUGAGUGCUAAGUGUUAGGGGGUUUCCGCCCCUUAGUGCUGCAGCUAACGCAUUAAGCACUCCGCCUGGGGAGUACGGUCGCAAGACUGAAACUCAAAGGAAUUGACGGGGGCCCGCACAAGCGGUGGAGCAUGUGGUUUAAUUCGAAGCAACGCGAAGAACCUUACCAGGUCUUGACAUCCUCUGACAACCCUAGAGAUAGGGCUUUCCCUUCGGGGACAGAGUGACAGGUGGUGCAUGGUUGUCGUCAGCUCGUGUCGUGAGAUGUUGGGUUAAGUCCCGCAACGAGCGCAACCCUUGAUCUUAGUUGCCAGCAUUUAGUUGGGCACUCUAAGGUGACUGCCGGUGACAAACCGGAGGAAGGUGGGGAUGACGUCAAAUCAUCAUGCCCCUUAUGACCUGGGCUACACACGUGCUACAAUGGACAGAACAAAGGGCUGCGAGACCGCAAGGUUUAGCCAAUCCCAUAAAUCUGUUCUCAGUUCGGAUCGCAGUCUGCAACUCGACUGCGUGAAGCUGGAAUCGCUAGUAAUCGCGGAUCAGCAUGCCGCGGGUGAAUACGUUCCCGGGCCUUGUACACACCGCCCGUCACACCACGAGAGUUUGUAACACCCGAAGUCGGUGAGGUAACCUUUAUGGAGCCAGCCGCCGAAGGUGGGACAGAUGAUUGGGGUGAAGUCGU